RNAcentral lists this transfer RNA (77 nucleotides) under Shewanella putrefaciens. Its description in RNAcentral is "tRNA-Val". Lineage: Bacteria; Pseudomonadati; Pseudomonadota; Gammaproteobacteria; Alteromonadales; Shewanellaceae. The record is from RNAcentral.
AUUUGCUGCGCAAUACCAUAAUUAAUGAAGAAUUGCUUACUUUUCCACGUUUUCGUGUAAAAUAUUACUCCGAUCAC